This 429-nucleotide ribosomal RNA is filed under the name Pseudomonadota bacterium. RNAcentral's name for it is "Proteobacteria bacterium partial 16S ribosomal RNA". It matches the Rfam family "Bacterial small subunit ribosomal RNA", at positions 355 to 776 of the family's 1533-position model. Lineage: Bacteria; Pseudomonadati; Pseudomonadota. The record is from RNAcentral.
UGGGGAAUAUUGGACAAUGGGCGAAAGCCUGAUCCAGCCAUGCCGCGUGUGUGAAGAAGGUCUUCGGAUUGUAAAGCACUUUAAGUUGGGAGGAAGGGCAGUAAGCGAAUACCUUGCUGUAUUGACGUUACCGACAGAAUAAGCACCGGCUAACUCUGUGCCAGCAGCCGCGGUAAUACAGAGGGUGCAAGCGUUAAUCGGAAUUACUGGGCGUAAAGCGCGCGUAGGCGGUUCGUUAAGUUGAAUGUGAAAGCCCCGGGCUCAACCUGGGAACUGCAUCUAAAACUGGCGAGCUAGAGUAUGGCAGAGGGUGGUGGACUUUCCUGUGUAGCGGUGAAAUGCGUAGAUAUAGGAAGGAACACCAGUGGCGAAGGCGACCACCUGGGCUCAUACUGACACUGAGGUGCGAAAGCGUGGGGAGCAAACAGG